AGGUGGGAUGAGGAAUACAAGGAGGACAUUCCUACAGAUAAGAGUCCAGCAGGCGCCUUCCCCAGGUACUUACAGUGUCCCCCAGUACUCAGAUACCCCCAGGACUUACAUUAGGAUCAAACUGUGUAACAGCCGGACCAUCCCUUGAAGAAUAAUACAAAGCACAUAUCCCAACACAAGCAGAUGACUGUACUUGGCGCUUGAAGAAACAUCUCAUAUCUACAUAUUAUAAUGCAGAUGAUCCAGGUGUCAUAUCAGAUACAUAUGAAGAACGUGCCAUUAUCCCAGAUGUACCCUCAGA
This is a long non-coding RNA of Bufo gargarizans (Asiatic toad), 301 nucleotides long. RefSeq lists it as uncharacterized. The transcript is spliced from 3 exons. Lineage: Eukaryota; Metazoa; Chordata; Amphibia; Anura; Bufonidae. The record is from RefSeq and is a predicted model, not a curated record.